This 1292-nucleotide long non-coding RNA is filed under the name Coffea arabica (coffee). RNAcentral describes it as "long non-coding RNA (CARA_LNC006924)". The record is from RNAcentral. Lineage: Eukaryota; Viridiplantae; Streptophyta; Magnoliopsida; Gentianales; Rubiaceae.
CUCUGCAUAGCCCGGAGUAGACGCUCUGCAUAGCCCGGAGUAGACGCUCUGAUGUGAUAGAGGAGAGGGAGGUGUCGUUGAAGGUGAAAACCAUAUAGAAAUAAGAUGAAAGUCAAAGGGAAAUAUGAAAAAUAUGGAAGUCCCUAAAAUACCCCUUCUGGGUUCCUAGAUCUGGAAGCCGAUGGAAAUUAUGAGGUGGCGCCGCCGCUAAGUUCCUUGAUUGGAAUCGAAAUAUAAGUUUAGGGAUUAAAUUGGCUAUAAAUAAUGUAUAGGGACUAAAUUGACGGAAAAAAAAAGUUUAGGGACUAAAUUGGCGAUUUUCCCAAAAGAAAACUCAUGCAAAUCAGAAUCGAAGCGUUCUUCUUCUUUUUUUUCUGCAAUUUCAGAAACUUCAUCAGCUGACAGCCAUAGUUGCCAGCGGUGACAGAUGACCACCAGUCGCCGAUCACCGGCGAAUUUUCGAUCACCAAAAAUUAUCAAAAUACACAUCUCCACUCGAUUUUUUGUAUACAUUCCAUUUUCGAAGUUAUUUUUUACAAAAAAAGACCCGAAGGUGGCCAAAAAGCAAAAGACAGAUCAGUUUUUAUUUUUUCAAAACACCAUAUCUUUCACUAAAAAUUAUGAAAAUUAUACCAUAACACUCCUUACAACUUCUACAAUACAACUAUGCUUUUAAUUUGACAAGAAAACAGCAUAAGAGGGCUAAAAUAAAGCAAAACAGUCCCCUAAAAUUUGUUUUUUCUAUUUUGACAUUUUUUCAAACAUUUAGCAUGCUUAUACAAAUUUUAUUUCUUUUCCCCUUAAUCUGGUUCAUAACUUGUCUAACAACACAAUAAUAAUAAGAUCAGCAAGAGAAAAAAAACACAAGCAGCCAAACAUACAUUUAAUCUAAUUAAUUAAGAAAAAAGAAAAAACUGGAAAAAUAAAAGAAAGAAAUACCUCAACAAAAUUUGUAUUCUCUAGCUGAAGUUUUGAUGCAAUUUCUAGUUCCAAUUGUGCAGUUGCCGCCUCCCUUUUUGUUGUGCAAGCGUGUUGAAUUUUUUUGGGAAGAGAGGAGGGAGCUUUUUUUUUUCUUCUUCUCCUACAUUUUCUUCUGUCGUCUGGAAGUCGAGAGAGUUGAGAGAGUGAGGGUCUCUCUGCAAAAUUUUCUCAUUCUUCUGUCCGUUGAGCCAGCCGAGAGAGGGAGAGAGAGUUUUUCUCUUGCUGUCUUCUCUGUUUCUUUUGCUCUCUGGAAGUCGAGAGAGGGAGAGAAGGUGCCGAGAGGGAGAAGGAAUUUUUUUCUUUUUGCUCUG